AUGGAACAAUGUAGGCAAGGGAAGUCGACAAAACGGAUCCGUAACUUCGGGAAAAGGAUUGGCUCUGAGGACUGGGCUCGGGCGUCCCGGCCCCGAAGCCGUCGGCUGUCGGCGGAUUGCUUGAGCUGCUCACACGGCGAGAGCGGGUCACCGCGUGCCGGCCGGGGGCCGGACCGGGAAUUGCCCCUUCGGGGGCUUUCCUCGAGCAUGAAACAGUCAACUCAGAACUGGUACGGACAAGGGGAAUCCGACUGUUUAAUUAAAACAAAGCAUUGCGAUGGUCCUCGCGGAUGCUAA
RNAcentral lists this ribosomal RNA (297 nucleotides) under Triticum aestivum (bread wheat). RNAcentral describes it as "partial small subunit ribosomal RNA". It matches the Rfam family "Eukaryotic large subunit ribosomal RNA", at positions 1890 to 2184 of the family's 3401-position model. The record is from RNAcentral. Lineage: Eukaryota; Viridiplantae; Streptophyta; Magnoliopsida; Poales; Poaceae.